RNAcentral lists this ribosomal RNA (360 nucleotides) under Salmonella enterica. Its description in RNAcentral is "bacterial SSU rRNA". It matches the Rfam family "Bacterial small subunit ribosomal RNA", at positions 1 to 357 of the family's 1533-position model. The record is from RNAcentral. RNAcentral also lists the same sequence under 1 other name. Lineage: Bacteria; Pseudomonadati; Pseudomonadota; Gammaproteobacteria; Enterobacterales; Enterobacteriaceae.
AAAUUGAAGAGUUUGAUCAUGGCUCAGAUUGAACGCUGGCGGCAGGCCUAACACAUGCAAGUCGAACGGUAACAGGAAGCAGCUUGCUGCUUUGCUGACGAGUGGCGGACGGGUGAGUAAUGUCUGGGAAACUGCCUGAUGGAGGGGGAUAACUACUGGAAACGGUGGCUAAUACCGCAUAACGUCGCAAGACCAAAGAGGGGGACCUUCGGGCCUCUUGCCAUCAGAUGUGCCCAGAUGGGAUUAGCUUGUUGGUGAGGUAACGGCUCACCAAGGCGACGAUCCCUAGCUGGUCUGAGAGGAUGACCAGCCACACUGGAACUGAGACACGGUCCAGACUCCUACGGGAGGCAGCAGUGG